GCGGUGGACGGCUCGCCCUCGUUGAAGGAGGCGACGCCGUACAUGGUGAGGCAGACGCUGAGGAUGGAGACGAGUCCGAUGGCGCCGAGUGUGCCGGCCUGUCCGUGCACGGGCGUGUUGCGGAGCGGGCCAGUGAGCGCGAAGGGGCCGACGAGGAGGUAGCCAUGGGCGAGGCCGACCUCGAUGCCGCGGAGGAGCGGGCUGACGGCGGUGCGGUAGGCGGGGAGGUUGGAGAGGUACCACGCGACGAGGGGGCUGGAGGUGACCGGCGUCUCCAGGCUGCCGAUGAACGGGUCGCCGUUGAUGGGCUGGACCACUUGGUACGUCGGCUGAGAGGAAACACCAAAACAUGUAUGAGAUGCAAAGCAAGGCCUACAACAAGCUAAACCCUACUUGUAUCCCACAAAUUGUGGUUUGUUUUGGAUGAAUAAAUCUCUGUUCGUCCUAAAAAACAACACGCUAAACCUUAAUUUUAGCUCUCUCUUGCAUGCAAUUGCAAGUUUGCGACUGACCUUGUCAGACUUGACAGCCUUGACGACGAAGCGGGGCCUCCGGGUGAGCGAAGCGCCGGACAUGCCCCGCGGCUUGGAGCACGCCAAGCCGCUCUUCAUCACCUGGCUCGCCAUGGGAGGAGCAUAUGCAGUGGCCAUCUCGAUGUCCUCCUUCGACUCCCACACGCUCAACUCUGCUCUGCCUGCAGCGUCAAAUGGAUGGAUGUGUUACAAGAAGAAGAUCUGUCCAGAUGGCAAGAUGUUUUAGUGGCUCCAAGGGAGAGGGGAGAAUCUGGGUCCUGUUGGGCGGGACCCUGCAUACGAGAUAUGGUCCGGAGCUGUGUGGCUUCCAUUGGCUGCAAUCCUAUCCCUUAUCCGAAUUUCCGGAUUCUGUCUGCGUGUCACUCUGUGUGUGGUCUCUAUUCGUCUAUGGCUGCACCCAGACCAGAUUUUUCAUCUUAUUGUGCUGAUAUAGUCAUACACUUAAUACACAACAUAAGAUUAUAAGUGUUAUAUAUAUGUCAUCUAUCAGUUUGCAGUACAAAAUCUAAAUACUCAUCGAAAAUUCUUAUUUUUAGAUUUUUUAGUGCGGAUUGAUAUGAGACAUAUACUCCCUCCGUUCCUAAAUAUAAGAUUUUUUAAAGAUUGUACUAUAAACUACAAACGGAUGUACAUAGACAUAUUUUAAAGUAUAGAUUCACUCAUUUUGUUCCGUAUGUAGUCUCCUAAUGAAAUCCCUAAAAGGUCUUAUAUUUUGGAACGGAGGGAGUAUAAAAUAAAAUAUGUAAAGCACAAAAACAUGUGGCACCUGUUUUAAAAGCAGGUAAAAUAAAAGUAUGCAGGUAAAAAAAGCAUAAAAGUAUGAAGGUCUUAUAAUACAAAGUACUUUCUCUGUCCAGAAAUACUUGCCAUAAAAAUAAAUUUUUUAGAUGUAUUUUAGUUUUAUGUACAUACAUUUCUAUCAAUUUGUACAACAAUUAAUUUCGGACGGGGGAGUAUUAUGCUAUACUGUGGAGUUCGAAUGGAU
Molecule: long non-coding RNA, 1518 nt
Filed under: Hordeum vulgare
Lineage: Eukaryota; Viridiplantae; Streptophyta; Magnoliopsida; Poales; Poaceae
Description: long non-coding RNA (HVUL_LNC006305)
Source: RNAcentral